Molecule: long non-coding RNA, 723 nt
Organism: Dendrobium catenatum
Lineage: Eukaryota; Viridiplantae; Streptophyta; Magnoliopsida; Asparagales; Orchidaceae
Exons: 2
Source: RefSeq, a predicted model, not a curated record
UUCACAUAACCUCCGAGUGUUUCAUACCUCUUCCGAUUCCCCUCCCACUCCCGUCCAUCGCAAAGAAACGAUAAAAAGAGCUUAUUUGCGUUCUUCUCAGGUCGAAUCGAAAAUCAAGAUGGGAGCUCUCGCUUCACGUGAAGAGUUGUGAAUGAAUCGCUAAAGAAGCUUGGGCUUCUCUUGUUCAGCUUUAAUGUACCGUUGUAUCUCCUCCAACUAUUCCUUUCUUCUCCCAGCCUACCAACCCCCAGAGUGCAGGUGAAAAUACAUAAAGUGAAGGAACAAAGACAGAGAAUGAGGAGAUUUUGCGCCCUAAGAUAUGAAAUUGAUGCCGGAUGGGUUCGUCAUCGGGCUUCGGGAGUGGCCAUGAUUACUCUUUCAAGAUCCUGAUCAUCGGGAAUUCUGGAGUAGGGAAGAGUAGUUUGCUCUCAUCAGCUUUAUCUCCAACCAUGUGGAUGAUUUAACCCCCACCAUCGAUACAGCUAUAUUUCUAUUUAGUGGACUUUUUUGAAUCACUUGGGUCUAGAAGUAGUGGAUUUUUAGUUUGAGAUUGCUAUCAUUUUGAGCUCGGGUUUUGUUUAAAUGACAUUUUUAAGUUAUUGUGAGGGAAAAAGGAGGUUGGUUGAAUGUUUGGCAUUCGUCUAUUCAAUUGUUUAGCGCUCAUUUGAGUGGACGAUGUAAUUCGGUACAAUUUUUCUUAUGAAAAUGAUGGAUUAUUGGUUA